AUACGUGCAUAUGCUUACCAGCAUUAACAACAAAAUUGGUUGGGCUUGACAUUUCGUCAAACACUUUGAGCACACGGAGCUUCCACUGCCCAUCGUGCCCACCACCAGCUCCCGGCGACCGUGGACGCGCCCGACUAGCCGCCGUGGCUGUGGCCGCGCCCGGCUCGCUGCGGUCGUGGACGAGCUUGAGCUGGCCGUCGUUGAGGAUCUUGCCGCGCCCGUCACCUCUCAAAGAGCCUCUGCGCCGGCCAUCUCAUCUUCGCUGCCUCCCCCCGCGCUCUCGUCGUUGUCGCUGGCGACAGCGGAAACCGUCGAGCCGCACAGCGCGUCCGCACCUCCCUCGACUCCCAAGAGCUCGAGCUCCUCCUCCAUAACUUGGCAGCAGAUCUGCUGAAUCUAACUUCCGUUUCAUGAUUUUUACAGAAAUGCAACCCCUAUUCCGCUCAGCUGUUCGACGCCGGGCCAAAGAUCCGGACGAUCCCGUUCCUGUGCAGCUCCGCCUCCUCUCUUGUGAUUUUCCUUUUGCUCUAUAUGUCCACGGCCACCGCGCCGUGGCAAUUUCUGGGUUUUUUGGGCUGCCAUGAUGGACACCGUUUGAGUAGAUCUAAGUAGCUUUGUAUUAAUGAAAACUGCACUUGGAAUUGUCUCUGCUUCACAGUUUUAUCUGUCGCGCUUGGCUUGGUUUUUUAUAUUUUGGCCUAGGAUGGAUUGAACAUAAUCAACUGCCUCCAAUUUGUUUUGUUCUAUUUGCAUGUGAAAUAGCACACUAACAUAUUCCAUAUUUCACCAAGCACAAUAUUCGGUGCUGACUGUUUUUACUUGUAUGGCUGUUAAAUUGUCCUGUCCACACUCCACAUUAAAACAAUUUCAUUGUAGUUGAAUUGAAAAUAAUCAUCUGUCUCCAAUUUGUAUUGGCCUACUAACAUGUGAAAAUAGCACACUACACAUAUUCUUUAUUUCAUUGAUAUCAAUACUCCGACCGUUUUUACUUGCGCGGCUGUGGACUCUAAAGUUUGAUCUUCUAAACAUUUUUAUCUCACUGCAAACCUAUUUCUGACUCUAAAUUCUGUUAUGUUCCAAAAGUUGUGUUUUUUUCUUAAAUAAAUAUGUCAUUAGUCUUAAUGGUUUGUGAUACCCCAAAACUCUUGAGUUUGUUAGUGUACUGUGUGAAGUAAAUAGGGUUAGUUGGACCUUGGAAAAUGGCGACAGGGGACUACUAGGCCAGGGAGUGGGUUCGUGUUACUCUAUCGCUGAAACUAACAGUGCUUGCUUAGAAUGAACUAUCUUUGUUGUCCGGAAGCGCAAUCUGGAUGCAUCAUUGCGCUAUGUACUUGGAAGUAGAAAGCGCAUGCCAAACAGUUCUUUUUUAGCUUAUACUAGAUGAGAAAGAAGUGAUCUUUGAGCAUUUGACAUUCUUGUGAUAUAUUUGAGCUCAGGAUUACUGAUGUUUUAUUGGUUCCAUCUUAACAUGCAGGAACUGUUGUUUCCUUUGGCUGAAAUAGGCAAAAGUCAUGUUUUCUUGCUCUAUUUCCUCUGCAUGGUUUACAGAGGCUUGCUAUGGUGCAUUUCUUUCGGCUUUCUGGUCGGCUCCACCAUUUUCAUGCUAUGGAACAAGCACGAUGGCAACAGGCAGCUCAUCGGAGCAUUUGAAGUCGCAACCCCUCCUUGGUAGCGAACCAUCCAGCAGCUCCUUGCUCUGUAGGAAGCUAUCUCGCAGCUUGAGAAGUGAUCAUUGAAGCCUCCCGCGCAGACCGGCAUCUAUUUCUUCUCUGACUAUGGUGUAGUCCUGGCGUUGGAGCUGCGAGUAAAAAACAAUAUUGGUGAAGACAGAGGAGGAUUAGAGUUUAGCAGAGGAUUCAUGGCCUGGAAAUUGGAGAACUAUAAGGCAAUGGAGCUCCUCAUGGAGGGAGAGCAUAUCUACAUGAAAGAAAAGAAAACCCUGAAAGGCCUGGCUGUUACAAGGCGAGGGGAGGGAACUUUGGAAUGCUCAAGCCUGGAGUGUUGGUUGUCAAGCUAAAGCUGCCGUCUCUACAUGGUGUGAUGAGAUGAUGGGUUGUCGAGGAAAAAUAGGGGGAAAUCCCAAUUUAAUUGAUCACCCCAUUGAGUCUUUGGUGUAAUCUUGUGCGUGCACACUACUUGUAUUGGAAACAGAAGUGGUGUGGUGUAGCAUUUACCCUUGGUGAUCCUUGCCUCCUUGAAGGGCAUCAAUCAUCGAGUGGUUGCGCUUGUCUUUUUCUUUGUUGGUUCGUUCAUGGGAAUCAGAAAUAUUGUGAACAGAAUUUAUGUAUAGGUUGAACAGAAUUAUCGUGUACCAUGUCCUUGGUAGAUGCAAUAAAAAGCCGGAAUAUUUUCCCUUUUAGAUGA
This is a long non-coding RNA of Triticum dicoccoides, 2364 nucleotides long. RefSeq lists it as uncharacterized. The transcript is spliced from 6 exons. NCBI's taxonomy places the organism in Eukaryota, Viridiplantae, Streptophyta, Magnoliopsida, Poales, Poaceae. The record is from RefSeq and is a predicted model, not a curated record.